UAGUUAGCUGCAAAGAAAUAGGGAGAGAUGGUUGAUGGCAUUGCUGAGUCCUUUUCAGAGCUCGGGGAAGACCUUAGCAGAAAAGGAAAUGCUGGACACCCUGUUCUAGCAGCCAUCCUGCUUCCUGUCAACAGUAAGCACAGCACGGGUCCCUUCUGUAGAGAUGGAACAAAUUCUACCCGUGGGCCCACCAUUCUACACUGCAGCCACCUUAACUUUUCUGGUACCUGGCAGUUCAUCAAUUGGCAAGGGAGGGGCCACUCAUGUGAUACAUACACUGGAAGAAACCUGAGCCUCAGGAAAACCAUCCUCUCCUCUGGUGCAGGUUUAGAUGUCAUCUGUGGAAUAGACACCACUGGCCAUGCACAUCUCCGUCCAUCGGUGUGAGAGAGCAGAGAUCUCAGAAAAUGCUCGUCAUUCACAGGAACAUUUGCAGAAGUGGAAAGCCCUUGAGGAUGCCUGGCUUCCUGAAUGAUCCACCCAUCCCUUGGCUAUCUCUAGUGAGAAUGGAGGCACUUAAAUAUUUCUAUCUGAUAGCUCAGAAUUCCUGCUAGAAGUGAACUGGAAGACAGAAGUGGGUUAUAGAAAGAUGUAGUUUUUCCACUCACGAUUUGUAGCAGUGAGCAGCUGACAGGACCCACUGGCUGCUGAUGAGGGAACCUCCACAGAAGUGAUAUCCAGAAUUCAGGGACACCUGAUAGGGCACAGAGUUCCUUGCACAGGUGUAGC
Haemorhous mexicanus (house finch) is the source of this 729-nucleotide long non-coding RNA. RefSeq lists it as uncharacterized. The record is from RefSeq and is a predicted model, not a curated record. The transcript is spliced from 2 exons. NCBI's taxonomy places the organism in Eukaryota, Metazoa, Chordata, Aves, Passeriformes, Fringillidae.